This 468-nucleotide ribosomal RNA is filed under the name uncultured bacterium. RNAcentral's name for it is "partial 16S ribosomal RNA". It matches the Rfam family "Bacterial small subunit ribosomal RNA", at positions 28 to 507 of the family's 1533-position model. The record is from RNAcentral.
GACGAACGCUGGCGGCGUGCUUAACAAAUGCAAGUCGAACGGAAAGGCCCUGCUUUUGGGGGGGGCUGGAGUGGCGAACGGGUAGUAACCACGGGAGUAACCUCCCCUGGAUUUUGGGAUAUCUUCAGGAAACUGGGAAUAAAACAGGAUUGGAGCUCCUGCUGAAGGGCGGGGGUUGGAAAGUUUCGGCGUUUGGGUAUGGACUCGCGGCUUAUCAGCUUGUUGGGGGGGUAGUGGCUUACCAAGGCUUUGACGGGUAGCCGGCCUGAGAGGGGGACGGGCCACAUUGGGACUGGGAUGCGGCCCAGACUCGUACGGGAGGCAGCAGUGGGGAAUAUUGCACAAUGGGCGGAAGCCUGAUGCAGCAACGCCGCGUGCGGGAUGACGGCCUUCGGGUUGUAAACCGCUUUCGCCUGUGACGAAGCGUGAGUGACGGUAAUGGGUAAAGAAGCACCGGCUAACUACGUG